This 465-nucleotide ribosomal RNA is filed under the name uncultured Klebsiella sp. Its description in RNAcentral is "bacterial SSU rRNA". It matches the Rfam family "Bacterial small subunit ribosomal RNA", at positions 338 to 795 of the family's 1533-position model. Lineage: Bacteria; Pseudomonadati; Pseudomonadota; Gammaproteobacteria; Enterobacterales; Enterobacteriaceae. The record is from RNAcentral.
CCUACGGGAGGCAGCAGUGGGGAAUAUUGCACAAUGGGCGCAAGCCUGAUGCAGCCAUGCCGCGUGUGUGAAGAAGGCCUUCGGGUUGUAAAGCACUUUCAGCGGGGAGGAAGGCGUUAAGGUUAAUAACCUUGGCGAUUGACGUUACCCGCAGAAGAAGCACCGGCUAACUCCGUGCCAGCAGCCGCGGUAAUACGGAGGGUGCAAGCGUUAAUCGGAAUUACUGGGCGUAAAGCGCACGCAGGCGGUCUGUCAAGUCGGAUGUGAAAUCCCCGGGCUCAACCUGGGAACUGCAUUCGAAACUGGCAGGCUAGAGUCUUGUAGAGGGGGGUAGAAUUCCAGGUGUAGCGGUGAAAUGCGUAGAGAUCUGGAGGAAUACCGGUGGCGAAGGCGGCCCCCUGGACAAAGACUGACGCUCAGGUGCGAAAGCGUGGGGAGCAGACAGGAUUAGAUACCCGUGUAGUC